This 2904-nucleotide ribosomal RNA is filed under the name Escherichia coli. Its description in RNAcentral is "23S ribosomal RNA". It matches the Rfam family "Bacterial large subunit ribosomal RNA". The record is from RNAcentral. Lineage: Bacteria; Pseudomonadati; Pseudomonadota; Gammaproteobacteria; Enterobacterales; Enterobacteriaceae.
GGUUAAGCGACUAAGCGUACACGGUGGAUGCCCUGGCAGUCAGAGGCGAUGAAGGACGUGCUAAUCUGCGAUAAGCGUCGGUAAGGUGAUAUGAACCGUUAUAACCGGCGAUUUCCGAAUGGGGAAACCCAGUGUGUUUCGACACACUAUCAUUAACUGAAUCCAUAGGUUAAUGAGGCGAACCGGGGGAACUGAAACAUCUAAGUACCCCGAGGAAAAGAAAUCAACCGAGAUUCCCCCAGUAGCGGCGAGCGAACGGGGAGGAGCCCAGAGCCUGAAUCAGUGUGUGUGUUAGUGGAAGCGUCUGGAAAGGCGCGCGAUACAGGGUGACAGCCCCGUACACAAAAAUGCACAUGCUGUGAGCUCGAUGAGUAGGGCGGGACACGUGGUAUCCUGUCUGAAUAUGGGGGGACCAUCCUCCAAGGCUAAAUACUCCUGACUGACCGAUAGUGAACCAGUACCGUGAGGGAAAGGCGAAAAGAACCCCGGCGAGGGGAGUGAAAAAGAACCUGAAACCGUGUACGUACAAGCAGUGGGAGCACGCUUAGGCGUGUGACUGCGUACCUUUUGUAUAAUGGGUCAGCGACUUAUAUUCUGUAGCAAGGUUAACCGAAUAGGGGAGCCGAAGGGAAACCGAGUCUUAACUGGGCGUUAAGUUGCAGGGUAUAGACCCGAAACCCGGUGAUCUAGCCAUGGGCAGGUUGAAGGUUGGGUAACACUAACUGGAGGACCGAACCGACUAAUGUUGAAAAAUUAGCGGAUGACUUGUGGCUGGGGGUGAAAGGCCAAUCAAACCGGGAGAUAGCUGGUUCUCCCCGAAAGCUAUUUAGGUAGCGCCUCGUGAAUUCAUCUCCGGGGGUAGAGCACUGUUUCGGCAAGGGGGUCAUCCCGACUUACCAACCCGAUGCAAACUGCGAAUACCGGAGAAUGUUAUCACGGGAGACACACGGCGGGUGCUAACGUCCGUCGUGAAGAGGGAAACAACCCAGACCGCCAGCUAAGGUCCCAAAGUCAUGGUUAAGUGGGAAACGAUGUGGGAAGGCCCAGACAGCCAGGAUGUUGGCUUAGAAGCAGCCAUCAUUUAAAGAAAGCGUAAUAGCUCACUGGUCGAGUCGGCCUGCGCGGAAGAUGUAACGGGGCUAAACCAUGCACCGAAGCUGCGGCAGCGACGCUUAUGCGUUGUUGGGUAGGGGAGCGUUCUGUAAGCCUGUGAAGGUGUACUGUGAGGUAUGCUGGAGGUAUCAGAAGUGCGAAUGCUGACAUAAGUAACGAUAAAGCGGGUGAAAAGCCCGCUCGCCGGAAGACCAAGGGUUCCUGUCCAACGUUAAUCGGGGCAGGGUGAGUCGACCCCUAAGGCGAGGCCGAAAGGCGUAGUCGAUGGGAAACAGGUUAAUAUUCCUGUACUUGGUGUUACUGCGAAGGGGGGACGGAGAAGGCUAUGUUGGCCGGGCGACGGUUGUCCCGGUUUAAGCGUGUAGGCUGGUUUUCCAGGCAAAUCCGGAAAAUCAAGGCUGAGGCGUGAUGACGAGGCACUACGGUGCUGAAGCAACAAAUGCCCUGCUUCCAGGAAAAGCCUCUAAGCAUCAGGUAACAUCAAAUCGUACCCCAAACCGACACAGGUGGUCAGGUAGAGAAUACCAAGGCGCUUGAGAGAACUCGGGUGAAGGAACUAGGCAAAAUGGUGCCGUAACUUCGGGAGAAGGCACGCUGAUAUGUAGGUGAAGUCCCUCGCGGAUGGAGCUGAAAUCAGUCGAAGAUACCAGCUGGCUGCAACUGUUUAUUAAAAACACAGCACUGUGCAAACACGAAAGUGGACGUAUACGGUGUGACGCCUGCCCGGUGCCGGAAGGUUAAUUGAUGGGGUCAGCGCAAGCGAAGCUCUUGAUCGAAGCCCCGGUAAACGGCGGCCGUAACUAUAACGGUCCUAAGGUAGCGAAAUUCCUUGUCGGGUAAGUUCCGACCUGCACGAAUGGCGUAAUGAUGGCCAGGCUGUCUCCACCCGAGACUCAGUGAAAUUGAACUCGCUGUGAAGAUGCAGUGUACCCGCGGCAAGACGGAAAGACCCCGUGAACCUUUACUAUAGCUUGACACUGAACAUUGAGCCUUGAUGUGUAGGAUAGGUGGGAGGCUUUGAAGUGUGGACGCCAGUCUGCAUGGAGCCGACCUUGAAAUACCACCCUUUAAUGUUUGAUGUUCUAACGUUGACCCGUAAUCCGGGUUGCGGACAGUGUCUGGUGGGUAGUUUGACUGGGGCGGUCUCCUCCUAAAGAGUAACGGAGGAGCACGAAGGUUGGCUAAUCCUGGUCGGACAUCAGGAGGUUAGUGCAAUGGCAUAAGCCAGCUUGACUGCGAGCGUGACGGCGCGAGCAGGUGCGAAAGCAGGUCAUAGUGAUCCGGUGGUUCUGAAUGGAAGGGCCAUCGCUCAACGGAUAAAAGGUACUCCGGGGAUAACAGGCUGAUACCGCCCAAGAGUUCAUAUCGACGGCGGUGUUUGGCACCUCGAUGUCGGCUCAUCACAUCCUGGGGCUGAAGUAGGUCCCAAGGGUAUGGCUGUUCGCCAUUUAAAGUGGUACGCGAGCUGGGUUUAGAACGUCGUGAGACAGUUCGGUCCCUAUCUGCCGUGGGCGCUGGAGAAUUGAGGGGGGCUGCUCCUAGUACGAGAGGACCGGAGUGGACGCAUCACUGGUGUUCGGGUUGUCAUGCCAAUGGCACUGCCCGGUAGCUAAAUGCGGAAGAGAUAAGUGCUGAAAGCAUCUAAGCACGAAACUUGCCCCGAGAUGAGUUCUCCCUGACUCCUUGAGAGUCCUGAAGGAACGUUGAAGACGACGACGUUGAUAGGCCGGGUGUGUAAGCGCAGCGAUGCGUUGAGCUAACCGGUACUAAUGAACCGUGAGGCUUAACCUU